Molecule: small RNA, 138 nt
Filed under: Bacillus vallismortis
Lineage: Bacteria; Bacillati; Bacillota; Bacilli; Caryophanales; Bacillaceae
Description: partial 6S RNA
Rfam family: 6S / SsrS RNA
About the family: E. coli 6S RNA was the first non coding RNA to be sequenced, but its function was unknown until recently. It consists of 184 nucleotides that fold into an extended hairpin structure with a large single-stranded internal bulge. The 6S RNA specifically associates with RNA polymerase holoenzyme containing the sigma70 specificity factor.
Source: RNAcentral
AAGAAGCUACUUUGUGCGUAUUGUUAAUUAAGUUUUAACCUUUAAGCUGUAAUAGGGAGUUUUAUAUCGAAGCCGGAAUGUCGUGCCUCCAGUGUAGAGGACGACAGGAACGCUUCUGCAAACACCCACUUUGAGGAG